CGGAGGAAAAGAAACCAACAGGGAUUGCCUCAGUAACGGCGAGUGAAGCGGCAAAAGCUCAAAUUUGAAACCCUCGGGAUUGUAAUUUGAAGAUUUGGCAUUGGAGAAAGCUAACCCAAGUUGCUUGGAAUAGUACGUCAUAGAGGGUGACAACCCCGUCUGGCUAACCGUUCUCCAUGUAUUGCCUUAUCAAAGAGUCGAGUUGUUUGGGAAUGCAGCUCAAAGUGGGUGGUAAACUCCAUCUAAAGCUAAAUACUGGUGAGAGACCGAUAGCGAACAAGUACUGUGAAGGAAAGGUGAAAAGAACUUUGAAAAGAGAGUGAAAUAGUAUGUGAAAUUGUUGAUAGGGAAGGAAAUGAGUGGAGAGUGGCCGAGGUUUCAGCCGCCCCUCGUGGGCGGUGUACUGCCGACGCCGAGUCAUCGAUAGCGAGACGAGGGUUACAAAUGGGAGCGCCUUUCGGGCGUUCUCCCCUAACCCUCCACACUGCCACCGACGACAUAAUCCACCCAUUUCACCCGUCUUGA
This 525-nucleotide ribosomal RNA is filed under the name Yarrowia lipolytica. RNAcentral describes it as "eukaryotic LSU rRNA". It matches the Rfam family "Eukaryotic large subunit ribosomal RNA", at positions 51 to 657 of the family's 3401-position model. The record is from RNAcentral. Lineage: Eukaryota; Fungi; Ascomycota; Dipodascomycetes; Dipodascales.